Molecule: long non-coding RNA, 1410 nt
Organism: Hydractinia symbiolongicarpus
Lineage: Eukaryota; Metazoa; Cnidaria; Hydrozoa; Anthoathecata; Hydractiniidae
Exons: 5
Source: RefSeq, a predicted model, not a curated record
GAAAAAAAAAAAUUAUUAAAAGUGAAAGAUAAUGUUGCAAAAUCAACACAACAACAAACAAAUCGAAACAAGCAAAAACAAACUUUAUAUAUAGAUGUUUUCAGGAAACUUCAAGAAUUGUCACUUACACGGAAUAAGACACUCAAAACGGUACACAGAGUAAUCUUGAAAGAAUUUUUGGGAAAAUAAACCUAGUGAUAUUAAAAAAUAAUUACUUGAAAUCGAGUCCUCUCUUCUGCAUAUUGUUGAAAGUGACACAUUGCAUCUAAAACUUUCUUGUGACCACCUGGUACAAGACAGCAAGCACCAAGUAUUUCCAGAACUAAAGAUUCAACAUAAACGUUGGAUGAGAAAAUAACCUUGAAGAAGAAUUUUUCUAUGCACUAUAUAUUUGGCUACUUCUGAUAUUUGGCUACUUCUGUUUGUCACAAACUUGGAGGAAAGUCACGAACAACCACAAAUUUGCUUCGCAAAAGUUUAUUGGCUGGUUUAAAACUAGUGAAGGCCACCCCCAGCCACGUCCCAAUUUUACUAUUUUCGGAUUGAGAGCCACAGUGGAAUCGAGUUUGUUAAAGGAGGUUGUCAAGCUGGACCUUAAAGACAUUUAUCCAGAUUAGCUUCAAACGUCGUAACAAUAUUAGUUAAUAAUGGCGCGGCCAGUGAUUGAGAACAAAUAAACAACGCAAACGAGUUUAAAAUCCUAUGAUAAACAUUACAUUAUUUUCUUCUCUAUUCUAAAGGUUGCUAUUUAAACAAGUCUUACAAAAAACCACUUGGAAAUCACUGCUUCCUAAUCUAGCUUCCUGAUUAUAACUUCAAGACCAACCACAUUCUCGGGACUUUUUAUCCGUCGUCGUCGGCCUAUUUUAGGAGUUACUGGGAGCGAAGUUUCCUUGAAUGUGUUAAAAAGAAAUCUUUAGCCGUCCUUUUGGUUACGUAUCGAACUAUGUUAACGCUACAACUGGAAUGCACAACAUUGAAGCAAGUGACAUUGACCAUCCCAGUGCUUCAGCCCAAUCUGGAUCAAAUUCCACAUGGGACCUUGGUUUUAAACAUUCGUUAAGUCGAACUACUUUCCUUGGUCAUUUUGAGAUUCCAGUUACCGGGAGUUAAAUGUAUGUCUUUUAUCAAUCCACCAAAGUUAAAAAACACACAAAAACACAAGAGUGGCCGUUAUUUGGAGAGAAUACUAUAGUUGGAUCGGAGCGUUGGCAAACGGGUCACACUGUUGAAAGAUGGGACCACCGUUUAAAGUUUGGGCCGUCCGGUUUAUAAACAGAACGCGUUUAAAGAUGGGCCAGGACAGUUUCACUGCGCAUGCUUUUUAUACAGAUAUCAAAGUUAAACAGCAAGUAAUUAAAAAAAAAAACAGUAAAUAUGAAUGAAUAAAUGAACGACUAAAUGAAUGAA